GACGAACGCUGGCGGCGUGCUUAACACAUGCAAGUCGAACGGAAAGGCCCUGCUUUUGUGGGGUGCUCGAGUGGCGAACGGGUGAGUAACACGUGAGUAACCUGCCCUUGACUUUGGGAUAACUUCAGGAAACUGGGGCUAAUACCGGAUAGGAGCUCCUGCUGCAUGGUGGGGGUUGGAAAGUUUCGGCGGUUGGGGAUGGACUCGCGGCUUAUCAGCUUGUUGGUGGGGUAGUGGCUUACCAAGGCUUUGACGGGUAGCCGGCCUGAGAGGGUGACCGGCCACAUUGGGACUGAGAUACGGCCCAGACUCCUACGGGAGGCAGCAGUGGGGAAUAUUGCACAAUGGGCUGAAGCCGGAUGCAGCAACGCCGCGUGCGGGAUGACGGCCUUCGGGUUGUAAACCGCUUUCGCCUGUGACGAAGCGUGAGUGACGGUAAUGGGUAAAGAAGCACCGGCUAACUACGUG
This 468-nucleotide ribosomal RNA is filed under the name uncultured bacterium. RNAcentral describes it as "partial 16S ribosomal RNA". It matches the Rfam family "Bacterial small subunit ribosomal RNA", at positions 28 to 507 of the family's 1533-position model. The record is from RNAcentral.